AAUACUGAACAUGAUUUUAAUUCUGUUCUUUACAGCAUAGUUUUAGCACCUCUGUAGUUUGGCUACAAACCAAAUGAGGCCAGGCAUCUUCUGCCAUUUUUUUGGUAGAUUCAACAGGCUAAAUUUGUUAGGGAAAGGUUGGGCUCAACACAGACAUACUCACAACUUACUGUCAUAUGUUCACUUUCACCAUGCCCCUUAACAUGUUCAGUUUGUGUUAGUUGAUGUCCCGAGCUGCUUCACAUAAAUAUGGUUGAUGUUUCUACAUUAAGUAUGUGUUGUACAGUAUGAUCAUACGUUUUGGUUAUGCAGGAGAUGUUUGGGUGGUUUGAUAGUUGGUCAGGCAUCAUAUCUCAGGUCUUUUUGACACUGUCUAUGGGUGUUCCGGUCUAUCCAUCUUUCAACCGUAUCAGAAAAAAGCAAGACCCCCAGUACAUGAUGUUCUUUAUACCUUACUGCUGUGCUUGGAUCUGUAUCAGCACUGUUCUUGUGUUCUUGUUCUUGGGGAGGUCUACGAAGGAGAAGCGUCUCUCACUGUGGAUGUAUAGACUAUACAUGAUGGGAAUCUGCAUCUCAAUGAUCCUCUUCAUUUAUCUCCUGAUCCCCCACACUACUGGAGUGAACCUUGGAGCUGGAAUACUGAUAUCCUCGGUAGUACUAGCCCAUAUGACUGCCUGGAACAUCAAACUUACUUACCCCUGCUCUACAAAUGAAUCUGAAAACAAUUCGGAGGGUUAGCCACUAGAGCUUGGAGUUCUCUGAUAGUUGAUUUCUACUAACUCAGUCCUAGUCAUCUAAUGGAUCUGACAAUGACAUAGAGGGUUAGUGAUUGUUGAGGAAGUUCUGACUAUAACUAUAAUAGUAUGAUUCACUGUUUCGCUUAUGUCUACUGACUGGAUAAGAAGAUUCUGAAGGUAUAUAAACCUGAUGGUUCCAUG
Long non-coding RNA from Lolium rigidum, 938 nucleotides. RefSeq lists it as uncharacterized. Lineage: Eukaryota; Viridiplantae; Streptophyta; Magnoliopsida; Poales; Poaceae. The record is from RefSeq and is a predicted model, not a curated record. The transcript has 4 exons.